GAUGAACGCUGGCGGCGUGCCUAAUACAUGCAAGUCGAGCGAACAGACGAGGAGCUUGCUCCUCUGACGUUAGCGGCGGACGGGUGAGUAACACGUGGAUAACCUACCUAUAAGACUGGGAUAACUUCGGGAAACCGGAGCUAAUACCGGAUAAUAUAUUGAACCGCAUGGUUCAAUAGUGAAAGACGGUUUUGCUGUCACUUAUAGAUGGAUCCGCGCCGCAUUAGCUAGUUGGUAAGGUAACGGCUUACCAAGGCAACGAGGCGUAGCCGACCUGAGAGGGUGAUCGGCCGCACUGGAACAGAGACACGGUCCAGACUCCUACGGGAGGCAGCAGUAGGGAAUCUUCCGCAAUGGGCGAAAGCCUGACGGAGCAACGCCGCGUGAGUGAUAAAGGUCUUCGGUUCGUAAAACUCUGUUAUUAGGGAAGAACAAAUGUGUAAGUAACUAUGCACGUCUUGACGGUACCUAAUCAGAAAGCCACGGCUAACUACGUG
This 497-nucleotide ribosomal RNA is filed under the name uncultured bacterium. Its description in RNAcentral is "partial 16S ribosomal RNA". It matches the Rfam family "Bacterial small subunit ribosomal RNA", at positions 28 to 507 of the family's 1533-position model. The record is from RNAcentral.